Molecule: ribosomal RNA, 253 nt
Filed under: uncultured bacterium
Lineage: Bacteria
Description: partial 16S ribosomal RNA
Rfam family: Bacterial small subunit ribosomal RNA
Source: RNAcentral
UACGGAGGGUGCAAGCGUUGCUCGGAAUCACUGGGCGUAAAGGGCGUGUAGGCGGUCUCGUAUGUCUGACGUGAAAGCCCCGGGCUCAACCCUUGAAAGCCGGCCGAUACUGUCGGACUAGAGUCCGGAAGAGGCGAGUGGAAUUCCCGGUGUAGCGGUGAAAUGCGCAGAUAUCGGGAGGAACACCAAUGGCGAAGGCAGCUCGCUGGGACGGUACUGACGCUGAGGCGCGAAAGCGUGGGGAGCAAACAGG